CAAGGAUUAUUAGACAGUGCAAAGAGUACCUGCUACAACAAUUACCAAAAUGAUCAAACUGCAUCCAAACUCCAUUGUUGUGUGAUCGAAUACAGCAGGACUUGUGUUCCGGAAAUACUCGAAAGACAAAGAUGCGACGAGACGUUUCUUCUUGAGCAUUUCUUUAAGGACAUCAACGCCGACUGUGGAACAUCGAAGCCAGUCUGCUUGGAGUGCAAUCAAAAAGCAAUAUCAAAUGCGGAAGAUGUGUGCUUGAGGAAAUACGAACAGGAACACGGCAUCAUUUCUAGAGGCCUGAUGUCCGGCAACGACAAACGACUGUGCUGGUAAGCACUUCGUCGCGUGCGUCCGGCGGUUUUACAGCGGCAUUAUGAUAAAUAAGAAAAUGCGUGAACAAUUUUAAAUUUUGCUGAAUGAUUUGCUUAUAUGGGCCAAAUGUAGGAGCAGAACUCUGAAGAAUGCUUGACACCCCCCGUGCAGGGCAAAGACUUUGUUGUUUUAGGUUCAGACACCUGUCGAUAUACUUCAAGCUGCCUACGGUUCCUCAUAAGCCACUGGCAGCACUCCAAGGAAUUACGGUGUACUGCUAGAGAGGACAACGAGCUGUGGGGUUUGGUUUGGAGAAACAUUAACGCGAAUACUUCGCGUCAUUUCACCAAGCGCCCUAGCUGUCGGGUCCAGCUGAGACAUUACGGUUGCGUCUGCGGAGAGGAAAGAAUCCGCUAGUCUCCUCAUGCCUUGUGGAUGGAUGGAUGAAUAGUCGCUUUUCUCGAUCGCAGCGACAUGGAUAGCGCUGGAGUUAGGUAAGCGCCAUGGGAUGCGGCUUUUUGAGGCGGCCGCGCAUUUUGCGCGGAAUCUGUUAUGGCAUGCGUUCCAUUUGUAUUUAAUUUUCAUUGUUUUUACGAAUGCAAUUCCUAAAGUUGCUCAG
Molecule: long non-coding RNA, 928 nt
Organism: Ornithodoros turicata
Lineage: Eukaryota; Metazoa; Arthropoda; Arachnida; Ixodida; Argasidae
Exons: 3
Source: RefSeq, a predicted model, not a curated record